RNAcentral lists this unclassified non-coding RNA (433 nucleotides) under soil metagenome. Its description in RNAcentral is "partial contains 5.8S ribosomal RNA, internal transcribed spacer 2, and large subunit ribosomal RNA". The stretch from base 1 to 120 matches the Rfam family "5.8S ribosomal RNA", at positions 35 to 154 of the family's 154-position model. The record is from RNAcentral.
GAUGAAGAACGCAGCGAAAUGCGAUACGUAAUGUGAAUUGCAGAAUUCAGUGAAUCAUCGAAUCUUUGAACGCAUAUUGCGCUCUCUGGUAUUCCGGAGAGCAUGCUUGUUUGAGUAUCAGUAAACACCUCAACUUCCAUAUCUUUUUUGAAAUGGGAGUUGGACUUGAGUGAUCCCAACGCUUUUCCUCACCGAAAAGUGGCGGGUUACUUGAAAUGCAGGUGCAGCUGGACUUUUCUCUGAGCUAUAAGCAUAUCUAUUUAGUCUGCUUAAAAAACAGAUUAUUACCUUUGCUGCAGCUAACAUAAAGGAGAUUAGUUCUUGUGCUGACUGAUGCAGGAUUCACAAAGACAGGCUUCGGCCGACUUUGUAAACUCGAUCUCAAAUCAAGUAAGACUACCCGCUGAACUUAAGCAUAUCAAUAAGCGGAGGA